This 66-nucleotide transfer RNA is filed under the name Manis javanica (Malayan pangolin). Its description in RNAcentral is "tRNA-Val". It matches the Rfam family "tRNA". Rfam says of the family: Transfer RNA (tRNA) molecules are approximately 80 nucleotides in length. Their secondary structure includes four short double-helical elements and three loops (D, anti-codon, and T loops). The record is from RNAcentral. Lineage: Eukaryota; Metazoa; Chordata; Mammalia; Pholidota; Manidae.
CAAAGUGUAGCUUAAACAAAGCAUCUGGCCUACACCCAGAAGAUCUCAAUAACAUGACCACUUUGA